CAUGACCGUAUCCACCGAAUUGGGCAGUUCAAGCCAAUCAAGAGCACUAGGUUUGUGAUAAAGGGCACGGUUGAAGAGCGCAUACUGCAACUGCAACAGAAGAAGCAGCUGGUGUUUGAAGGCACCGUGGGGGACUCACCGGAUGCCAUGUCGAAGCUUACAGAGGCAGACCUCAAGUUUCUGAUCUAGAUCUAAAUGCUGACG
Molecule: long non-coding RNA, 204 nt
Organism: Zea mays
Lineage: Eukaryota; Viridiplantae; Streptophyta; Magnoliopsida; Poales; Poaceae
Exons: 3
Source: RefSeq, a predicted model, not a curated record